RNAcentral lists this ribosomal RNA (435 nucleotides) under uncultured bacterium. RNAcentral describes it as "partial 16S ribosomal RNA". It matches the Rfam family "Bacterial small subunit ribosomal RNA", at positions 28 to 507 of the family's 1533-position model. The record is from RNAcentral.
GAUGAACGCUGGCGGUAUGCUUAACACAUGCAAGUCGAACGGACUCUUCGGAGUUAGUGGCGGACGGGUGAGUAACGCGUGAGAAUCUGGCUUUGGGUUCGGGACAACCACUGGAAACGGUGGCUAAUACCGGAUGUGCCGAGAGGUAAAAGAGAAAUUGCCUGAAGAUGAGCUCGCGUCUGAUUAGCUAGUUGGUGAGGUAAAGGCUCACCAAGGCAGCGAUCAGUAGCUGGUCUGAGAGGAUGACCAGCCACACUGGGACUGAGACACGGCCCAGACUCCUACGGGAGGCAGCAGUGGGGAAUUUUCCGCAAUGGGCGAAAGACUGACGGAGCAAUACCGCGUGAGGGAAGAAGGCUCUUGGGGUGUAAAACUGUUUUCUUAGGGAAGAACAAAAUGACGGUACCUAAGGAAUCAGCAUCGGCUAACUCCGUG